This is a long non-coding RNA of Vespa crabro (European hornet), 800 nucleotides long. RefSeq lists it as uncharacterized. The record is from RefSeq and is a predicted model, not a curated record. The transcript is spliced from 3 exons. Lineage: Eukaryota; Metazoa; Arthropoda; Insecta; Hymenoptera; Vespidae.
UUUUAAAAUCAUUAAUAACAUUAUUUAAACGUGUGAAAUUGUUUUCUUAUAGCCAAUAAAUAUAUUUCGUUAUUUAUUAUAUUUCAUGAUUCUUGUCUAAUCUCCAAUUAAUGAGCAGUCUCCAUCGAUCGCUAUUCGAUCCAGGGGAUUAAGUUUAGAAGAGAAGAAUGUUCAAACAUGAAUCUACGUGCGAACUUUCAAGAAUUUCAACUGAUUAUUUUAAAGUCAAUAAUUAUAUAGGAUAUAUAAAGGAGUCGAAAGACAUUACAAUGCCGCCUUUGCUUCCUUCCAAGGAACUUUGACGUGGCCAACUGUUUUGUGUUUUUGGGGAGGCCUAAUAAAACGCAGCGCCGACAAUGCCGUCGUAAUAGCGAGCGUGCCUACGGCGCUUAUUAAGGGUCUCGAAUUUUUGGACUGACCGUCGUCGUUUCGGUCUGACAAGGAAAUAACUUUCAGCGAAGAUACACCGGACGGCCCGGCGAACAUUGUAUUCGUUUAUUGGAAAUCGAUAAAAAGUUGCAUGAAUGAAUGAAUGGACGGACGGAUGGAUGGAUAUCGUAAAGCUUUGAAUUGUUGAAAUUUAAAAAUAUUAAUACCGCGCUCGAGUAUUUUACAUAUUAAAAUCUUUUACUUGGUGAACGGAGAAUACUGUUACAUUCUCGUCGGCCAUUUUGCGCGAACCUACGUCGACGGCGUUCUACUACAGCGCCGUCGAUCCGCAAAUCGUACAAUUCACUUUUUUAUCAUUUUGGAUUCUUCAGUACAUUUUAUUUUCGUGCAAUUCUUUUUUUAUUUCUUUU